This 253-nucleotide ribosomal RNA is filed under the name uncultured bacterium. RNAcentral's name for it is "partial 16S ribosomal RNA". It matches the Rfam family "Bacterial small subunit ribosomal RNA", at positions 524 to 776 of the family's 1533-position model. The record is from RNAcentral.
UACAGAGGUCUCAAGCGUUGUUCGGAAUCAUUGGGCGUAAAGCGCGCGUAGGUGGCUUCGUAAGUCCGUUGUGAAAGUCAAAGGCUCAACCUUUGAAAGCCGAUGGAUACUGCGGAGCUAGAGUACGGAAGAGGCGAGUGGAAUUCCUGGUGUAGCGGUGGAAUGCGCAGAUAUCAGGAGGAACACCAAUAGCGAAGGCAGCUCGCUGGGACGUUACUGACACUGAGGCGCGAAAGCGUGGGGAGCGAACAGG